CCCUUAGAUGUUCUGGGCCGCACGCGCGCUACACUGAUGCAUUCAACGAGUCUAAAACCUGCUCUGAUAGGGGUGGGUAAUCUUUUGAAUGUGCAUCGUGAUUGGGAUAGAUGAUUGCAAUUUUUCAUCUUCAACGAGGAAUGCCUAGUAAACGCAAGUCAUCAGCUUGCAUUGAUUACGUCCCUGCCCUUUGUACACACCGCCCGUCGCUCCUACCGAUUGAAUGAUCCGAUGAAUAACAUGGAUUGAGGAUUAUAGCAGGUUCGCCUGUCUUGAUCUUCGAGAAGUGAAGUAAAUCUUAUCAUUUAGAGGAAGGAGAAGUCGUAACA
RNAcentral lists this ribosomal RNA (329 nucleotides) under uncultured eukaryote. RNAcentral describes it as "partial 18S ribosomal RNA". It matches the Rfam family "Eukaryotic small subunit ribosomal RNA", at positions 1470 to 1796 of the family's 1831-position model. The record is from RNAcentral.